CCUACGGGUGGCAGCAGUGGGGAAUAUUGCACAAUGGGGGAAACCCUGAUGCAGCGCCGCCGCGUGAGUGAAGAAGUCCUUCUUUAUGUAAAGCUCUAUCAGCAGGGAAGAAAAUCACGGUACCUGAGUACGACUCCCCGGCUACCUACGUUCCAGCCGCCGCGGUCCUACGGAGGGGGCAAGCGUUAUCCGGAUUUACUGGGUGUAACGGGAGCGUAGACGGCAGUGCAAGUCUGGAGUGAAAGGCGGGGGCUCAACCCCCGGACUGCUCUGGAAACUGUAGGGCUGGAGUGCAGGAGAGGUAAGUGGAAUUCCUAGUGUAGCGGUGAAAUGCGUAGAUAUUAGGAGGAACCCCAGUGGCGAAGGCGGCUUACUGGACUGUAACUGACGUUGAGGCUCGAAAGCGUGGGGAGCAAACAGGAUUAGAUACCCUUGUAGUC
RNAcentral lists this ribosomal RNA (440 nucleotides) under uncultured bacterium. Its description in RNAcentral is "partial 16S ribosomal RNA". It matches the Rfam family "Bacterial small subunit ribosomal RNA", at positions 338 to 795 of the family's 1533-position model. The record is from RNAcentral.